UGGAGGAGUAGACAUGGCGUGAUAUUGCUUCGGCUCAUCUUCUUUCUCAGUAAUCCGUCUGAAAGUUUCAAGGCGAGCCGAAUCAAUAUCACUCUUGUAUGCUUCUUU
Non-coding RNA from Gossypium raimondii (Peruvian cotton), 108 nucleotides. The record is from Rfam. NCBI's taxonomy places the organism in Eukaryota, Viridiplantae, Streptophyta, Magnoliopsida, Malvales, Malvaceae.